CAGUAGCCGCGGGAACACAGAGGGUGCGAGCGUUAAUCGGAUUUACUGGGCGUAAAGCGUGCGUAGGCGGCUUCUUAAGUCGGAUGUGAAAUCCCUGAGCUUAACUUAGGAAUUGCAUUCGAUACUGGGAAGCUAGAGUAUGGGAGAGGAUGGUAGAAUUCCAGGUGUAGCGGUGAAAUGCGUAGAGAUCUGGAGGAAUACCGAUGGCGAAGGCAGCCAUCUGGCCUAAUACUGACGCUGAGGUACGAAAGCAUGGGGAGCAAACAGGAUUAGAGACCCGCGUAGUCCCUGUCUCUUAUAA
RNAcentral lists this ribosomal RNA (301 nucleotides) under uncultured bacterium. RNAcentral describes it as "partial 16S ribosomal RNA". It matches the Rfam family "Bacterial small subunit ribosomal RNA", at positions 509 to 809 of the family's 1533-position model. The record is from RNAcentral.